Molecule: ribosomal RNA, 2169 nt
Filed under: Filimonas lacunae
Lineage: Bacteria; Pseudomonadati; Bacteroidota; Chitinophagia; Chitinophagales; Chitinophagaceae
Description: bacterial LSU rRNA
Rfam family: Bacterial large subunit ribosomal RNA
Source: RNAcentral
UAAACGAAUGGAGCCGUAGCGAAAGCGAGUCCGAAUAGGGCGACUAGUCAGUGGGGGCAGACGCGAAACUUUGUGAUCUAUCCAUGGGCAGGUUGAAGUUCUGGUAACACAGAAUGGAGGACCGAACCCGUUGACGUUGAAAAGUCUUGGGAUGACCUGUGGAUAGGGGUGAAAGGCCAAUCAAACUGAGAGAUAGCUCGUUCUCCCCGAAAUGUUUUUAGGAACAGCCUUGUAUAUAGAAGUUUAACAGAGGUAGAGCUACUGAUUGGGCUAGGGGGCUUCACCGCCUACCAAACCCUGACAAACUCCGAAUGCUGUUAAAUAUCUACAGGAGUGAGGCUGCGGGCGCUAAGGUCCGUGGCCGAGAGGGAAAUAACCCAGACUAGCAACUAAGGUCCCUAAUACGUAGUUAAGUUGAUCAAACGAGGUGGGAUUUCAAUAACAGCCAGGAUGUUGGCUUGGAAGCAGCCAUUCAUUUAAAGAGUGCGUAACAGCUCACUGGUCGAGAGAUCCUGCACGGAAAAUAAUCGGGCAUCAAACUACGAACCGAAGUUCUAGAUUCAGAUAAUAUCUGAGUGGUAGGGGAGCAUUGAAAUUGCAUCGAAGCUGUUAGGCGACUAAUGGUGGAGCGAUUUCAAAAGAAAAUGUAGGCAUAAGUAACGAUAAAAGAAGUGAAAAACUUCUUCGCCGAAAGUCUAAGGGUUCCUGAUCAACGUUAAUCGGAUCAGGGUUAGUCUGGUCCUUAGGAAAACCCGAAAGGGGCAUCUGAUGGAAAGAAGGUUAAUAUUCCUUCACCUGCUAUACAUUAAAAGUGACGCAUCGACGUGGUGGUUACGUACUGACAGAAUAGUGCGUAGAGAUGAAUCUUCGGAGGAGUCGAAAUCAUAAAAUUGGUGCCGAGAAAAGCGAGUAUAGCAGCCAGUACCGCAAACCGACACAGGUAGACGGGAUGAGUAUUCUAAGGCGCUCGGGUGAGCCGUGGAGAAGGAACUAGGCAAAUUGACGCUGUAACUUCGGGACAAGGCGUACCGUAGCGAUACGGUCUCAGUAAAAUGAUUCAACCAACUGUUUAACAAAAACACAGGGCCCUGCAAAAUCGAAAGAUGACGUAUAGAGCCUGAAACCUGCCCGGUGCUGGAAGGUUAAGGAAGGAUGUUCGGCGCAAGCCAAAGCUUCUGACUGAAGCCCCAGUAAACGGCGGCCGUAACUAUAACGGUCCUAAGGUAGCGAAAUUCCUUGUCGGGUAAGUUCCGACCUGCACGAAUGGUCUAAUGAGUUGAAUACUGUCUCCUCCACGAGCCCGGUGAAAUUGUAGUAUCGGUGAAGAUGCCGGUUACCCGCCACGGGACGGAAAGACCCCGUGAACCUUCACUACAACUUUGCAUUGAUCUUGAGUAACAAAUGUGUAGGAUAGUUGGGAGACUGUGAAGUAGCUUCGCCAGGAGUUAUGGAGUCAACGUUGAAAUACCAACCUUUUGUUACUUAGGACCUAAUCCUGAAAAAGGAGACAUUGCAUGGUGGGUAGUUUGACUGGGGUGGUCGCCUCCUAAAAAGUAACGGAGGCUUGCAAAGGUACCCUCAGUACGGUUGGUAAUCGUACGUAGAGCGCAUUAGUAUAAGGGUGCUUGACUGUGAGACAAACAAGUCGAUCAGGAGCGAAAGCUGGCUAAAGUGAUCCGGCGGUUCUGUAUGGAAGGGCCGUCGCUCAAAGGAUAAAAGGUACUCCGGGGAUAACAGGCUGAUCUUACCCAAGAGCUCAUAUCGACGGUAAGGUUUGGCACCUCGAUGUCGGUUCGUCACAUCCUGGGGCUGGAGAAGGUCCCAAGGGUUCGGCUGUUCGCCGAUUAAAGUGGCACGUGAACUGGGUUCAGAACGUCGCAAGACAGUUCGGUCCCUAUCUGUGGUGGGCGUUAGGAAAUUGCGGGGACGUGACCUUAGUACGAGAGGACCGGGUCGCAUGUACCGCUGGUGAAUCUGUUAUGCCGCUCGGUGUAUUGCAGAGUAGCUAUGUACAGUCAGGAUAAACGCUGAAAGCAUCUAAGCGUGAAACCUACCUCAAGAUGAGUUUCCUUUUAAGGGUUGUCAAAGACUAUGACGUUGAUAGGCUAUAGAUGUAAAGUUGGUAACAACAAAGUCGAGUAGUACUAAUUACCCGUAAGCUUUAAUUUU